UUAAGGGACAAUGCUGACAGAUUACUGCGGGCAUUUCCCUCUCAAACAAAUUUCAGCCUCUAAAAUGGCGCCUCCUUCUUGACUGCCAUGGUAAAGUUUCUUCAUUUUGUAGUAGUGCCACCGCCUCUCACUCGCUCACCCUCUCCCUUUCUCUCAGCCUUUCAUCCUCUCCCUCUCCAUGUCUUAUUCUUCUCCUCUCUUGCACGAAUAGCGGGCCUCACAAACGAAGGGUCGAAGGGGUGACUGAUGAACGACAGAGGUCAAAGAGGGCUCACGAACCAAAGGUGGUGGAGGACGGACGGCGGCGAAUCCAACUCAUGGGGUGGAGGUGUGUCCCAUGGUGGCUCAUUAGUUUGGCUCAGGAGCAUAUUUGCAAGGUGGCAUGGAUCACGUCAGGGUUCUUCCAAAGUUUCUUCAUUCAAAUGCAACCAGUCAUAAGUGGGCUCUUGGAGCUUUUGUUGAGCUAUUGGAUAAUGCAUUGGAUGAGGUCUGCAGUGGUGCCACAUAUGCAAAUAUCGAUAUGCUUACUAAUAAGAAAGAUGGGAGCAGAAUGUUGCUAAUCGAAGGAUAUUCAAAUUAGAGUGGUCAAAUGAGAUGAGAAGAGUAUACAAAUGGCUAAACAGUACCCCGAUUCCCGGCACUUCUUGACUUAUCGACACUCAUUGAGGGUAUGGUCACAAAUUUAUAAUAUUGUGAAUGAUAUGAUGUUAUCUGAGAAGAUUAAAUACAUGCCGCAACCUGGUGCUGAGGGGAUCUCAAAAGAUGUCAAUAUGGUUGCUGAUGUCACCAUUGGGUUUUGUAAUGGAUGCUAAACAUCAUAUCUAUGGCCAAGGAUUUAAUGUCUAUCACAAGAUCAGAGUGAUUAAGAUGACAAUGAUGGACCCUUGACGUGAUCAAUGGCACUAUCUAACUACUACACCAUUGGCAAUUCUUGGAAGUUUCAUUUUCUCAUUCAUGGCAAACCAAUUCUUACUUUGGAAAGACUAUUGGUGACGAGGGUGAGUACAAAGACAAGAAGAAGAAAUAUGUUUGACAAUGAAUUUAGUAUUUUAUUUUAUUUUAUUUGUAAUUUUUAUUAGAGUAAAAGAUUCUUUUUUGAGUGGUUAAUUAUUUACUUUGUAAAUCUAGUUAUAUUUUUUUUUUAAGGUCAAGACGAUUAUGUUUAUAAACAAGUUUAUAUAUUUUUUAGUCAAGUAGUAGUGUUAUAUUUGUUCCAAAUUUUGUUUUAUUAGAUUUGUAAAUACUUUGUAUAAGUUUUGUUAUUUUAAUAUAUAAGUUUUUAGA
This is a long non-coding RNA of Humulus lupulus (European hop), 1284 nucleotides long. RefSeq lists it as uncharacterized. The record is from RefSeq and is a predicted model, not a curated record. Lineage: Eukaryota; Viridiplantae; Streptophyta; Magnoliopsida; Rosales; Cannabaceae. The transcript has 9 exons.